AUUAUAAUCUCAAUACUAAUUAUUUUCCCAGCUCAUAUUUUCAAACCGACCUUUCCCUGUGUAUAUAUAGAGCUCCGCAUUUUGGGUACAUUUCCACAAACAAGCCUUCUGCUGCCGCGUACAUCUCAAGCUUUCUGUUCUCUCUACGGAGCUUACUGAUUCAAUCUGCAAUGGCUGAUGCUCAUGAAACUGAUAAGAAUAUUGAGAUAUGGAAGAUUAAGAAACUCAUAAAAGCACUUGAGGCAGCUCGAGGUAAUGGAACGAGCAUGAUUUCUCUUAUUAUGCCUCCACGUGAUCAAAUAUCACGAGUCACUAAGAUGCUUGGAGAUGAAUUCGGAACUGCAUCUAACAUUAAAAGUAGGGUGAACCGACAAUCUGUUCUGGCUGCGAUUACAUCUGCUCAGCAAAGACUAAAGCUUUACAAUAAAGUACCACCCAAUGGGCUUGUGCUUUACACUGGAACUAUCGUGACUGAUGAUGGGAAGGAGAAGAAGGUCACCAUUGAUUUUGAGCCUUUUAGACCUAUCAAUGCGUCUUUGUAUCUCUGUGACAACAAGUUCCAUACAGAAGCGCUGAAUGAACUUCUAGAAUCUGAUGACAAGUUUGGCUUCAUUGUUAUGGAUGGUAAUGGGACACUCUUUGGAACUUUGAGUGGCAAUACAAGGGAGGUCCUUCACAAGUUUAGCGUUGACCUCCCCAAGAAGCAUGGAAGAGGAGGGCAGUCAGCUCUCCGGUUUGCUCGUCUUCGAAUGGAGAAGCGCCAUAACUAUGUCAGGAAGACUGCAGAACUUGCUACUCAGUUCUAUAUAAAUCCGUCAACAAGUCAACCCAAUGUCUCAGGACUAAUUCUUGCUGGAUCAGCCGACUUUAAGACCGAACUUAGUCAGUCUGACAUGUUUGAUCCCCGUCUUCAGGCAAAAAUUUUGAAUGUGGUGGACGUCUCUUAUGGCGGUGAAAAUGGUUUUAAUCAGGCAAUUGAGUUGUCAUCUGAAAUCUUAUCCAAUGUCAAGUUUAUCCAGGAGAAGCGUUUGAUAGGCAAAUAUUUUGAGGAGAUAAGUCAGGAUACUGGGAAGUACGUGUUUGGUGUGGAUGACACAUUAAAAGUUCUUGAGAUGGGUGCUGUUGAGACUCUCAUUGUGUGGGAAAACCUGGAUGUGAUUAGAUAUACUCUAAAGAAUAUUUCCACAGGUGAAGUUCUUGUUAAGCACUUUAAUAAGGAGCAAGAGGCUGAUCAGAACAACUUUAGGGACCCAGCUAGUAAUUCUGACCUGGAGGUUGAGGAUAAGCUCUCCUUGCUUGAGUGGUUUGCUAACGAGUAUAAACGGUUUGGCUGCACUCUGGAGUUCGUCACCAACAAGUCACAAGAGGGAUCUCAGUUUUGUAGAGGUUUUGGAGGAAUUGGAGGGAUCUUGCGAUACCAGCUUGAUGUUCGAGCUUUUGAUGAGCUGUCUGAUGAAGGAGAAGUUUACGAUGAUUCUGAAUAGCAAUCAAUUAACUUCUUAAAUGCUGGUGCAGGGAGGCAGCACCAAGCCUGCACCAGUGCGCAAGGGCUCGCGCAGGUUCAUCCGGAUAUGGUGCUAGUGCCUGAAAGAUUUCAAGGAGUUAUAUAAAGAUAUGAAGUAUCAGGUGAAAAGAAUUUACCAGUCCCUCCCACGUUUCUACUGGGAGGUGAUACGAAGGUUGCACUGUUUGAUAAUCAACUUGCUUGCUGGAAGAAUUAAGUACUAAAGAUACUCAAGAAGCAUUGGAGGAGCUUGCUCCUUGGGCAGUUGGUUUUGGAAGCAUAUUCCAUGUACUUUCUUGAGAGAGAAACUUACAUUUAGUAGUUCUAUGUAGGAUGUAUGGUGUGGGAUUGCGUCAAGUCUGCAGUAUUUUCCAUAGAACAUGGCUACUAUUAGUUCUAUGGCUACUAUUAAAGUGUUUGCGGUGAAUAAUGGACAGCUAUUAUAUUGUCUAUGAUGAUGAUGAUGUUGCGUUGUGGUAAAUGUCAACAAUUGUGGACCUGUUGACAUUGACUUUGGCAUGUCUAGUGUUUGUGGCAAUAGUAGAAAAUGGUAUUUUUGGAUCAGUGAUCCUGUAACCUGUUGCCCAGAGCCCUGUUACGUUGUUUUAGUUGCUUUGAAUGUUGGUUUGCAAAAGAGACGUGUUUGUGGGAGUCUUUCGAUUU
Non-coding RNA from Coffea arabica (coffee), 2167 nucleotides. Lineage: Eukaryota; Viridiplantae; Streptophyta; Magnoliopsida; Gentianales; Rubiaceae. The record is from RefSeq and is a predicted model, not a curated record.